UACGUAGGGGGCAAGCGUUGUCCGGAUUUAUUGGGCGUAAAGAGCGUGUAGGCGGCUAGGUAGGUCCGUUGUGAAACUCGGAGGCUCAACCUCGAGACGUCGAUGGAAACCAUCUAGCUAGAGUCCGGAAGAGGAGAGUGGAAUUCCUGGGAUGUAGCGGUGAAAUGCGCAGAUAUCAGGAGGAACACCCGGUGGCGAAGGCGGGCUCU
This 209-nucleotide ribosomal RNA is filed under the name uncultured bacterium. RNAcentral's name for it is "partial 16S ribosomal RNA". It matches the Rfam family "Bacterial small subunit ribosomal RNA", at positions 524 to 728 of the family's 1533-position model. The record is from RNAcentral.